CACGUAGGCGGCUCGGCAAAUCAGUCGUGGAAUCCCGUCGCUUACCGGCGGAACGGCGGCUGAAAAUACCGGGCUAGAGGGCGUGAGGGGUCGCUGGAACUCCUGGUGAAGCGGUGAAAUGCGUAGAUAUCAGGAGGAACGCCGGAGGCGAAAGCGAGCGACUGGCGCGUUCCUGACGCUGAGGUGCGAAAGCUAGGGGAGCAAACAGGAUUAGAUACCCUGGUAGUCCUAGCCGUAAACGAUGGACACUGAGUGAAGGAGGGCUUGCCCUUCUUUGCUGCAGCUAACGCGUUAAGUGUCCCGCCUGGGGAGUACGGCCGCAAGGUUAAA
RNAcentral lists this ribosomal RNA (330 nucleotides) under uncultured bacterium. Its description in RNAcentral is "bacterial SSU rRNA". It matches the Rfam family "Bacterial small subunit ribosomal RNA", at positions 568 to 898 of the family's 1533-position model. The record is from RNAcentral.